GGGGAAUAUUGCGCAAUGGGCGAAAGCCUGACGCAGCAACGCCGCGUGGGGGAUGAAGGCCUUCGGGUUGUAAACCUCUUUCAGCAGGGAAGAAGCGAAAGUGACGGUACCUGCAGAAGAAGCACCGGCUAACUACGUGCCAGCAGCCGCGGUAAUACGUAGGGUGCAAGCGUUGUCCGAAUUUAUUGGGCGUAAAGAGCUCGUAGGCGGUUAGUCACGUCGGAUGUGAAAACCCGGAGCUUAACUCCGGGCCUGCAUUCGAUACGGGCUGACUAGAGUGUUGUAGGGGAGACUGGAACUCCUGGUGUAGCGGUGAAAUGCGCAGAUAUCAGGAAGAACACCGGUGGCGAAGGCGGGUCUCUGGGCAACUACUGACGCUGAGGAGCGAAAGCGUGGGGAGCAAACAGGAUUAGAUACCCUGGUAGUCCACGCCGUAAACGGUGGGCGCUAGGUGUGGGGAACAUUCCACGUUCUCCGUGCCGCAGCUAACGCAUUAAGCGCCCCGCCUGGGGAGUACGGCCGCAAGGCUAA
RNAcentral lists this ribosomal RNA (531 nucleotides) under uncultured Actinomycetales bacterium. RNAcentral's name for it is "bacterial SSU rRNA". It matches the Rfam family "Bacterial small subunit ribosomal RNA", at positions 356 to 897 of the family's 1533-position model. The record is from RNAcentral. Lineage: Bacteria; Bacillati; Actinomycetota; Actinomycetes; Actinomycetales.